GAUGAACGCUGGCGGCGUGCCUAAUACAUGCAAGUCGAGCGAACAGAUAAGGAGCUUGCUCCUUUGACGUUAGCGGCGGACGGGUGAGUAACACGUGGAUAACCUACCUAUAAGACUGGGAUAACUUCGGGAAACCGGAGCUAAUACCGGAUAACAUAUUGAACCGCAUGGUUCAAUAGUGAAAGGCGGCUUUGCUGUCACUUAUAGAUGGAUCCGCGCCGUAUUAGCUAGUUGGUAAGGUAACGGCUUACCAAGGCAACGAUACGUAGCCGACCUGAGAGGGUGAUCGGCCACACUGUAACUGAGACACGGUCCAGACUCCUACGGGAGGCAGCAGUAGGGAAUCUUCCGCAAUGGGCGAAAGCCUGACGGAGCAACGCCGCGUGAGUGAUGAAGGUCUUCGGAUCGUAAAGCUCUGUUAUCAGGGAAGAACAAAUGUGUAAGUAACUGUGCACAUCUUGACGGUACCUGAUCAGAAAGCCACGGCUAACUACGUG
Molecule: ribosomal RNA, 497 nt
Filed under: uncultured bacterium
Lineage: Bacteria
Description: partial 16S ribosomal RNA
Rfam family: Bacterial small subunit ribosomal RNA
Source: RNAcentral